Molecule: long non-coding RNA, 523 nt
Organism: Gasterosteus aculeatus aculeatus (three-spined stickleback)
Lineage: Eukaryota; Metazoa; Chordata; Actinopteri; Perciformes; Gasterosteidae
Source: Ensembl
CUGCAGUCUGCCGAUGUUGUUCAUUUAUUCUACUCCUCUAACCUCCUGUUGUCGCAGCUGCUGGAGGUCAGGAAUGGAAACUUUGUGAGUGAAGGAACAGGUGGAGUACGAAGGGACACACGCACAGCGAACGAAGCAGGUUACACCUCUUUCAAUUGCAUCCACCGCAGCACGUGAGGGGAAUGCAGCUCUAGCCAACGUUAUCCGCAAAACAAGGCAGCCACAGAAAGUACGGCGAGGUGGAGCAAAGGGCACCGACGGGUCCUGUCACUUUUUAUCAUCACAAUCAACACUGGCUGUUUGGAAUGAAAAAGACGGGAAACAAGGACCGAGGACACGAGGAAAACAGCUCAAGGCUUCAUCGCACAGCGCGUGCAGCUUUUUGUGGAUAACUGUGCUACUUUGACUGUGGAUGUCUGCAGCAGGUUUAAUUAAACAUUAAAUAAUGUUAAAGUCGACAUUAAACAUGCAUGUAAUCCAAUCACAUCACAGAAACUGGACGUCACAUAAAUGACACGGCGAC